Molecule: ribosomal RNA, 301 nt
Filed under: uncultured bacterium
Lineage: Bacteria
Description: partial 16S ribosomal RNA
Rfam family: Bacterial small subunit ribosomal RNA
Source: RNAcentral
CAGCCGCCGCGGUAAUACGUAGGUGGCAAGCGUUGUCCGGAUUUAUUGGGCGUAAAGCGAGCGCAGGCGGUCAAUUAAGUCUGAUGUGAAAGCCCCCGGCUCAACCGGGGAGGGUCAUUGGAAACUGGGAAACUUGAGUGCAGAAGAGGAGAGUGGAAUUCCACGUAUAGCGGUGAAAUGCGUAGAGAUGUGGAGGAACACCAGUGGCGAAGGCGACUCUCUGGUCUGUAACUGACGCUGAGGAGCGAAAGCGUGGGGAGCGAACAGGAUUAGAUACCCCUGUAGUCCCUGUCUCUUAUAC